RNAcentral lists this transfer RNA (72 nucleotides) under bacterium. RNAcentral describes it as "tRNA-Val". It matches the Rfam family "tRNA". From Rfam's summary of the family: Transfer RNA (tRNA) molecules are approximately 80 nucleotides in length. Their secondary structure includes four short double-helical elements and three loops (D, anti-codon, and T loops). Further hydrogen bonds mediate the characteristic L-shaped molecular structure. tRNAs have two regions of fundamental functional importance: the anti-codon, which is responsible for specific mRNA codon recognition, and the 3' end, to which the tRNAs corresponding amino acid is attached (by aminoacyl-tRNA synthetases). tRNAs cope with the degeneracy of the genetic code in two manners: having more than one tRNA (with a specific anti-codon) for a particular amino acid; and 'wobble' base-pairing, i.e. permitting non-standard base-pairing at the 3rd anti-codon position. The record is from RNAcentral.
GCGCGCAUAGCUCAAUGGUAGAGCGUUUCGUUGACAUCGAAAAGGUUCCAAGUCCGAUUCUUGGUGCGCGCA